Molecule: ribosomal RNA, 420 nt
Filed under: uncultured bacterium
Lineage: Bacteria
Description: partial 16S ribosomal RNA
Rfam family: Bacterial small subunit ribosomal RNA
Source: RNAcentral
AUAUUGUACAAUGCGGGCAACCCUGAUCCAGCCAUGCCGCGUGUGUGAAGAAGGUUUUCGGAUUGUAAAGCAUCUUAAGUUGGGAGGAAGGGCUUUAGGUUGAUACUCUGAAGUUGUGACGUUACCAACAGAAUAAGCUGCGGCUAACUCUUGUCCAGCAGCUGCGGUAAUACAGAGGGUGCAAGCGUUAAUCGGAAUUACUGGGCGUAAAGCACGCGUAGGUGGUUCAGUAAGAUGGGUGUGAAGUCCCCGGGCUUAACCUGGGAACUGCUUUCAUAACUGCUGAGCUAGAGUACGGUAGAGGGGAGUGGAAUUUCCUGUGUAGCGGUGAAAUGCGUAGAUAUAGGAAGGAACACCAGUGGCGAAGGCGACUACCUGGACUGAUACUGACACUGAGGUGCGAAAGCGUGGGGAGCAAAC